GGGCUGUAACUGACGCUGAGGAGCGAAAGCAUGGGGAGCGAACAGGAUUAGAUACCCUGGUAGUCCAUGCCGUAAACGUUGGGCACUAGGUGUGGGGGACAUUCCACGUUUUCCGCGCCGUAGCUAACGCAUUAAGUGCCCCGCCUGGGGAGUACGGCCGCAAGGCUAAAACUCAAAGGAAUUGACGGGGGCCCGCACAAGCGGCGGAGCAUGCGGAUUAAUUCGAUGCAACGCGAAGAACCUUACCAAGGCUUGACAUGGGCCGGACCGGGCUGGAAACAGUCCUUCCCUUCGGGGCCGGUUCACAGGUGGUGCAUGGUUGUCGUCAGCUCGUGUCGUGAGAUGUUGGGUUAAGUCCCGCAACGAGCGCAACCCUCGUUCCAUGUUGCCAGCGCGUAAUGGCGGGGACUCAUGGGAGACUGCCGGGGUCAACUCGGAGGAAGGUGGGGACGACGUCAAAUCAUCAUGCCCCUUAUGUCUUGGGCUUCACGCAUGCUACAAUGGCCGGUACAAUGGGUUGCGAUACUGUGAGGUGGAGCUAAUCCCAAAAAGCCGGUCUCAGUUCGGAUUGGGGUCUGCAACUCGACCCCAUGAAGUCGGAGUCGCUAGUAAUCGCAGAUCAGCAACGCUGCGGUGAAUACGUUCCCGGGCCUUGUACACACCGCCCGUCAAGUCACGAAAGUUGGUAACACCCGAAGCCGGUGGCCUAACCCCUUGUGGGAGGGAGCCGUCGAAGGUGGGACCG
RNAcentral lists this ribosomal RNA (745 nucleotides) under Arthrobacter humicola. RNAcentral's name for it is "bacterial SSU rRNA". It matches the Rfam family "Bacterial small subunit ribosomal RNA", at positions 731 to 1470 of the family's 1533-position model. The record is from RNAcentral. Lineage: Bacteria; Bacillati; Actinomycetota; Actinomycetes; Micrococcales; Micrococcaceae.